UUUCAGUGAAUGUAAGAUGUAUGUUAAUUAUUUGAGGAUCAAUUGUAAAAUUGUUAGCUGAGGAACUAAUUCUAGAUGGCUGGACAGAGCUAAUCAGAUAACAUAGGUCCAGCAGAGUUCUAGUUUGUCUAUUAGAAUUUAUUUUUUUCUCAGUGACUUUAUAGGCUUGUAGACUUUAAAUUAUGUCUGGCAAUCAUCGUUUUGUCCUAAUGGAAUUUUUUAAAUUUUUUUAUUAUUUUAUUUAUUUUAAUAUAUGAG
Molecule: long non-coding RNA, 258 nt
Filed under: Elaeis guineensis (African oil palm)
Lineage: Eukaryota; Viridiplantae; Streptophyta; Magnoliopsida; Arecales; Arecaceae
Description: long non-coding RNA (EGUI_LNC006314)
Source: RNAcentral